AGCCGGGGUUUCUUUACCAGAUACUGUCAUUAUCAUCUCUGGCGAAAGUGCUUUACGACCCUAGGGCCUUCAUCACACACGCGGCAUGGCUAGAUCAGGCUUUCGCCCAUUGUCUAAGAUUCCC
Molecule: ribosomal RNA, 124 nt
Filed under: uncultured bacterium
Lineage: Bacteria
Description: partial 16S ribosomal RNA
Source: RNAcentral